RNAcentral lists this ribosomal RNA (627 nucleotides) under uncultured Basidiomycota. Its description in RNAcentral is "partial 18S ribosomal RNA". The stretch from base 217 to 370 matches the Rfam family "5.8S ribosomal RNA". The record is from RNAcentral. Lineage: Eukaryota; Fungi; Basidiomycota.
UCCGUAGGUGAACCUGCGGAAGGAUCAUUAACGAGUUCUGAAACGGGUUGUAGCUGGCCUUCCGGGGCAUGUGCACACCCUGCUCAUCCACUCUACACCUGUGCACUCACUGUAGGUUGGCGUGGGCUUCCUUUGCGGGAAGCAUUCUGCCGGCCUAUGUACACUACAAACACUAUAAAGUAACAGAAUGUAUUCGCGUCUAACGCAUCAUAAUACAACUUUCAGCAACGGAUCUCUUGGCUCUCGCAUCAAUGAAGAACGCAGCGAAAUGCGAUAAGUAAUGUGAAUUGCAGAAUUCAGUGAAUUAUCGAAUCUUUGAACGCACCUUGCGCUCCUUGGCAUUCCGAGGAGCAUGCCUGUUUGAGUGUCAUUAUAUUCUCAAUCCCACUAGCUUUUGCUGGCUGGGGCUUGGAUUGUGGGGGUCUUGCUGGCCUAGUCAGCUCCCCUGAAAUGCAUUAGCGGAACCGUUUGCGAUCCGUCACAGGUGUGAUAAUUAUCUACGCCAGUGGGUUGCUUUCUGUCUGUUCAGCUCACAACCGUCCCUCUUUGGGACAACUGUAAUGAACGUUUGACCUCAAAUCAGGUAGGACUACCCGCUGAACUUAAGCAUAUCAAUAAGCGGAGGAA